UAGGAUAUCUCAAUUCAACAUCGAGGUAAUAAACUUUAUUUCGAAUUUGAGCUUCUUAAUAAAAUUAUCCUGUUAUCCCUAAAGUAGCUUUUAUUUAUUAAUCAUUAAUUAUUUUUCUUUAAAUUAAUGGGUCUUAUUUAACCUACUUUGUAACUGUUAAACUUAUGAGUUGUACAGUAUUUCUCUUUAAAUUAUUUUUGUUAUGUUUUUGUUUUUUUUUAAAAACCAUCGCCCCAAUGAAACUACCAACCGAAAAAUUUUUUAAGGUUAUAGUUAAGCUUUAUAGGGUCUUUUCGUCUUACAAUUUUAAACAGCAUCUUAACUGUUAUUUUAAUUUCUGAAAGUUAUAUUAUAAGACAGUGAAAUUUUCGUUCAGCCAUUCAUACUAUUCACUAAUUAGGUGACGAUUGAUUGUGCUACAUUAUUACAGUCAUGAUUACUGCAGCCAUUCGGUUUUUCUUGUUUUAUUUAUUUAACUUUUUUUAACCAAUGGGC
RNAcentral lists this ribosomal RNA (495 nucleotides) under Gymnangium allmani. Its description in RNAcentral is "partial 16S ribosomal RNA". Lineage: Eukaryota; Metazoa; Cnidaria; Hydrozoa; Leptothecata; Aglaopheniidae. The record is from RNAcentral.